RNAcentral lists this ribosomal RNA (442 nucleotides) under uncultured bacterium. RNAcentral's name for it is "partial 16S ribosomal RNA". It matches the Rfam family "Bacterial small subunit ribosomal RNA", at positions 338 to 795 of the family's 1533-position model. The record is from RNAcentral.
CCUACGGGAGGCAGCAGUGGGGGCUAUUGCACAAUGGGGGAAACCCUGAUGCAGCGACGCCGCGUGGGCGAAGAAGUAUUUCGGUUUGUAAAGCCCUAUCAUCAGGGAAGAAGAAAUGACGGUACCUGAGUAAGAAGCACCGGCUAAAUACGUGCCAGCAGCCGCGGUAAUACGUAUGGUGCAAGCGUUAUCCGGCUUUACUGGGGGUAAAGGGCGCGCAGGCGGCACGGCAAGCCUGAUGUGAAAGCCCGCGGCCCAACCGCGGGACUGCAUUGGGAACUGCCGGGCUGGAGUGCCGGAGAGGUAGGCGGAAUUCCUAGUGUAGCGGUGAAAUGCGUAGAUAUUAGGAGGAACACCAGUGGCGAAGGCGGCCUACUGGACGGUGACUGACGCUGAGGCUCGAAAGCGUGGGGAGCAAACAGGAUUAGAUACCCCUGUAGUC